ACAAACCUGUCUGCUAACCGUAGCAGCUUCAUAGUAGAGAACCUCCCCUUUUUUUUAUUAGUCCUAUUAAAGCUAGCGUGAUUGCUAGUCAGUUAUCGAAUCGCCGAAUUGUUCGAACGCGUUCAAAUGUUAUCAAGUGUUUAUUUUUUCUUGGGAACUUAUGGCCUCAGGAACAAUAUUUCCUCGUCCUUAUCUAGUCUACAGCUUCGUUAACAUUUAUCAUUGAUUUUCCUGUAAAAUAGUAUGACUUAAAUAACAAAGCUGGUUUUGAGGGGAUGCAGACUAGAGAUAACCUGUUGACUUUUUUGAAUUUUAUUUUUUCAUUUCAUUAAAUAUGUUAGACUGUGCAGUCAAGAAAGCUUUCUUUAAGUUGGAUUUACUCUUUAAAUGAAAAUGUCCAGUUGUCUCAGUUUAGAAAUGCUGGAAGUUAAAAUUUUAAGUAUUUGGAGUGGGUUAAUUAUGGUAGCUUCAAUUGUAGUUUGGUUCUUUACAAACAGCUUUGUUAUGUUCGGGUUCUUUGCAGCUUCAUUAGCUACUUCAGUCAUUGGUAUGAUCUCUGUAUUUUCAAUUGUGAUUAUGAUGUCUCCCAACCACUCUUCUAGCUCAACUGAUAGUCCAAAAGAAAUAAGGAAAUUCCAAGAAAAUAUAAGAGAGAUGGCAUUGACAUUGCAAACUGUCAAAAAUAGUCUUUCCGAUAAUCCACUAAUAAUUAUGAACAGAAGUGUCAGUACAACAUUGCAGAAUUUAAUGGAUUUGAUUUUCAGGGAUUUGUUAGAUUCUAUUCUCAAAGACAUUACUCUUCCAACUUCAUCCAUGAAGAAUGAUGCUUGGGAAGCCUUGCAUAAAUUUUACUGCAAAAUUAGCAACAUUGAUCCAGUACAAUUAAUUACACAAGAUGUUGUUGUUCGAGUUACGCGUCAUUUGGAAAAAAUUCGCCUCGCCCAAUCGAAUCCGGAGAAUAUGCGAGAUAAAAUGAUAUCAUAUAAUCUCUCAUCUUUUCUACGGAGCCCUCAAUCGGAAUUGGAGUUGGUUCGAAAAUUGGCGGACGUUAUGAUAGUGAAUCUAUUCCCACGAUCCUACGUUGACUGUUUCCUUCUACGCCACGCUCUUGGAGAAUUACUUGCUUGCCAAGUUUUGCAACCAGGCAUCGACAGCUUGUGUGAUCCUGAUACAAUCAACCAGCAGUUAGUCUUGCACCUUCACCGAAAGCAAAUGAUGAAGAAAGAUUACGCUUACGCAGCUAGUUACGAAGAUUUUGUUUCUCUUAUUGAAGAUUGCGAUGAUCUGGAAGAACUACGUCAAAUAAGAUACAACAUUGCAACGGAAAUCGCUCAAGCUACCACCAUUGGCUCUAUGCGACGUUCUAAAGGAACAGAGCCUGAUCAGGAAUUCUUGCUCUUGGGUUCCAACAAAAUUGAUCUUUUACAAGCACGUAAUUUAAAACGAUACAUUAAACAAUUAACCUACGCAAAACUCCAGUGCGAAAGAAGACUUCGCGUUUUGGGGGCACCGAUGAGUGACUUUUCUCGUACUUCCACAUCCAAUUCUAAUUUCAACGAUGAAAUGGUUCCUUCUUUCAAGACCGUUAUGAGGAACAACAACCUACGUCGACAACUUGAACUUUAUCUUAUUCAGCAAGGAGAAACUCAAAUUGGUCUUCUGAAAUUUUGGUUGGGCACUCAGGAAUUACGGAGGCUUGAUCGCAAAGCAGCUCUUGCAUCCGCAGCUCACAUGUUUUAUACGUAUAUUAAUGGUAGCAGUCAAAUAAUCAAACUAGAGAAAAAUUUGGUGAAAGGUAUGGAAGGGUUUAUUACUGGAGACAAAGGACCCGAGGCAUUUUUUCAAGCACAAGAUCAAGUAUGGAAGGUGCUUGAGGAUCGUCAUUACCCGUCGUUCCUAGUUGUUCUCACUUGUCAGAUGACGGGUCGUCAGGGUUGCGAGACGGAUUCUGCAACAGAUCCGCUUAGAGAGCGCCAUUUUUCUUGGAAAGAACCAUGGAUCGCUGAUGAUGAGUCAGAGGACACAGCUGGCGUUAUGGAAUGGAGCGAACAGACUCAAUUUGCUAAAAGUCGAAUGGAGCAAGUUGAUGCACGUCUCGUAAUUAAACUUCAGGCAAUGACUAGUUUACGCAGUAUCGCUCCGGAUAGCUCGUUGGUAGUUGCUUUAGAAAAAGAAGUUGAGUCUUUACAGACGGAACGCCGUGAAGUCGAGAGUUGGCUCAACCAGGCCGAAUCCUGGGCUGCUCACAUGGGGCAAUGGAAAGCGACAGUAGGGAUGCCCCCACAGAAUCCCGAAGAAAAGGAGAAUGUGCGAUUUCCAAUCGAAUUGCACUUGGAGGAUGAAGCAGCUAUGAUCGCCGUUGCUUCAAAUAACGGAUCGACGUCAAGAAAAAGAGUGGCUAUGUCGUGGACCGUUUGGCGCCAGGUGGCGGAAUUCUACGCGCUGAUAAGCAAACUGAGUCUUACGUGUCCCUGGUUGAAAACGUCUCAACUGCCUGCUGUCUCGGGCAAGUCACUUUUUGGCAAGCUCAACGAUCGAGCUUAUUUGGAGCGAGCUCAAGAUAAACUCCAGGGCUUCCUCGACACGGUAAUGGCUGACGACCGUCUCAACAAAAGCGAAGCUCUCUUUACUUUCCUGCACAAUACUCCUGUUUGCCUCCGCCAGGCGCUCGUCGUGGACGCACCCAAAAAAUCGAACCGGUUCUCUCUCGCCACGCUAUUUAAAGGGGACACGCCCCGAGAAAGUGAUGAUGACGCAGAGCAACAACAACAACAACACGAUAACAACAUGGCGACAGGCGCGGAUGAAACUGACUCGCUCUUCCAGUCAGCCUUCUCUGACGAUACUCGUGAUGGUAUUGCCGAGCCAAUUUAUCAUCUGAUUAGCGAAGUCUUUGAACUUCGUGGAGUGUUUGGGUGGCUCCGCCGUACCCUAGUCACGUUUGUUCAAAUCACUUAUGGCCGCACCAUUAAUCGGCAACUACGGGAUGUGAUUUCUAGUCUUUUUACCGAUCAAGCGGUGCUUGGUUAUGUUCAGCUGCUAGUCAAGACAUGGUGGCCAGAUGGAUCCUUACUCCCUGCCGCACUCCUACGAAGUAUCGACGAAAAGCGAAGAACCAAACUGGAAGUUCGAGACUUGCUUGUAGCAAACAUUCCGGACGUCUUCAACCAAUUGCUAGGCCACAAGAAUGCCAGACGGGGAACCCUGAAGGUCUUGGACGCUCUUCAAGACGAGCGUCUGAACAAACAACUCUUUUACGAUAUCUUGGAAGUGAUAUUGAAAGAUGGAUUUCCCGAACUAUCUUCCCUCUAAAAAGAAAUGAAUCGUCGUCCAAAAAUAAGCAGGGCAGUUGUUCUGAACAGGCAGUCGAAAAGGACGAAGGAAGAGGAUUGGCGUCAUACUGGAACGGUAAAACUUUGUGACGUGUAACAAGUAAACGGAGGGAGACAAGAUCAACGCCAACUGAAAAACGGUCGAUGACAAAACGAUUAGAUGAACACAAUCAUCGAUACAGCUGUCGAGAAACAAUUGGAACCUUGGGAGUAUCUUCCCUUCAUCCAACUUCCAUCCAUCCAACAGGACCUCCUCGACUAGGUAGAGUAGCAAAAAAAAGCGGAAAAGAUGCUAGAAGGAAAAAAAAAGGGGUAACAGGGAAUGUGUCAAUGUUAGCUCCUGGGAUCUGCAGUUCUACUGAUCUUAUUCCAGCUGGCCUUGUCUUGGUGACGUGCUGCAGAUCCUUGCAAUCCGAUCGAAACUCAAUCUUCUCGCGACGUUGGGCAAAAGAGAUUGGAAGUGUCAUGCUUCUGCAAUCUCGUAGCAAUCCAUUUCAUUCCAAGCUCGAUUUCCCCGUCUUUCCUCUCUUAUUUAUUAUUUCCAGGCAUUUCUCGUCCUUAAGGAUUGUGUAAACACAUCUCCGAUAGCGUUAUUCAAUCGGUGUUAGAGGAGCUCUUCGUUCAACCUAAUUUUGUUUUUGUUUUCUUUUUACUCCUGUCGGAAAAAGCUGAUUUAUUUUCCUCGAUUUGAGAUCUGGGAGCUUUCAACCAUAUCUGGCUUUGAUCUUUAUUUAUUUAUUUAGAGCUAAAUGAAUGUUUUUCGCCUUUAAAAUGACGUGUUACAUGGAGGCAAAUUGGGUCUACUCGAAGGUGACAGCCUUCGAUCGGUAGCACCAUUAGCGGUCGCUGGGCGUGACGCGACAGGGCUCAAAGCGUAGCCGCUGUGACUGUCAGAAUUGCUUCCGUUUCCACCGCCAAAGACCGGCGACGCUGGUUCCAAAACGGGAAACAAUCGCGACGGCUGUGAUUGACUUGAACUACUUGUCGUCCGUGAUGUGUGGCUGCUAGUUGAACUGGGAUCCUGCUCGGCUGACGGCGUUUGCUCAAUCUUAUCCACAUCGGCAGCGGCUCUCUGGUAGAGUCGCAUAAUUUCUCGCUUCAACUGCGCCCUUGUGGCCCGCGUCUGUCCACUGGUCGUUUUGGCGCUGCUCAACGGAGAUGCACAAUAGACGCUGCUUGACUCGAUGCAGCUCUAUCUCUCCUCAGGAAUUUGUGCGCCCUCUUGGCAAGACUGGAGACGGACCCGUUGGCGGAUUCUCCGGAGAGUGUCUCGGGAGUGGCGAUUGGCGCCACUAAUCGAUUACUGUACUCUGAAACCAGGUCCUCGCCAUCGACUGGAUAGUGUUGAAGAGGAUUAAAGUUCCAGCCGGCUGCUGACAUGGCCGGUAAGUUACUAGUUGUGGCUCGCCGGACUUGCGGAUUCAUCCACGAAGGCGGUUGCAACAUGUAGCAAGAAUUGGCAGGAACGCUACUGGAGUAAGGCGUUUCUUUGGCGUCGGGCGAUCGCUGGCCAAUGGUGGGACUCCGGUCGAUCGACGUCAAGCUAUUGUUUUCCAAAAAGGAAUGCUGCGGCAUCAUCACUGGCGACGGAGUAAAGCUGGCUGCCGUCAGAAGAGAACCGUCGACGAUCAGGCCCGGUUGGUAAUCGGCUUGGUCAUCCUUCAAUAGAGGUUCCGACGUGACUCGUUGAGGUUUGGACGGCCCAUGACACGAGAGAACCUGGGAUGGGAUGGGCAGGAUGAACUCUUCACUUGUCGAAGCAUUAAGGACGGAAGAGUGAAGCUCGGACAUCAUAACAAGUGGCCAUCCGCCGAAAUGAAAACAAUCCCAAAUAAAAGAGUUGGCAGGAAAAAUGAAAAAUAGAUUGGAAACCGUGAAAGACGGACGGGCGGUGCAUGGUUGUUGGAAGGUGGGAGUGGGACCUACUACGGAUUCUGGCCGCCAUCUCGCUCUACACGUUGGUGGUUGAACAAGGCACGCGGGAGGAGACGAUUUGCCUCUGAUACUCGGCCAGCUGCUUCUCGUGCCUCAGCACCUAAUAAUCGGAACCACCAACAACAGAGGAUUUUGUGUUGUAGGCCACGGCACAGCACGUCAAACAAAAAGAAAAAUGCAUGCUCUAUCACGAAAGAAAUCACAAAUUCCCAAACCAAAAUGAAAUGGACAUUUCCAGUCAGAAAAAAAAAGUCUGCAGAAAUGCCUUUCUCCCCUUUUUUUGGCGAUCGCAAUUUCCAUUAACGUACGUUUACGGUAUACAAUACCUUGUUGAUGGCGCUGAGGACGGUGUCGGGCAUGUGAUCGUGGACCAUGACGGGAGAGAUGAGUACCUCGUUGAAAUCGAUAGUGUCGGCCCACAAAGCCUGGUAAAUAGGAUCCGGCUGGUCAUCUUUGGUCGUCGCUGGACAACCGGAGCUUCGUUCCGAUCUAUCAGUGCGUGUUUUUGUCCCGGUAACGCCCAACAGCCCGCCCACGAAAAGAGAAGAAAAAAAAAGAAGAGAGAAAAUAAAUUAGUCGACGAGAACCGCAACUUGGCCGUAAAUCGAUAGAGAAAGGGGGGGAAAAAGUGCUCUAUAGAAUUGAUCUAGAGAGUUAGUCUAGGGCGUAAAGUCUCCUCCCCGUUGCUGCUUUCUGUUUUCCCUCGUGCGGAUACAGCCGGUAUAAUCAAAUAAACUCUCAGUCUGUAGAUAGAGAAACCCAGUAAACUUGGCGUGACAAACAACAACUUUUUUUCCUUCUUCUAGUGCCGCCGCCCUCUCUUUACUCUUUCAACUAGUAGAGGAUGAAAGUCACCGGAAUGAGCCAGACGACGCCAGCAGACACCUAAAGAAGCUUUUUCGGUCAUCUGAAAGGAGUUCGUUCGAGCAUUACUGAUCCCCUUUCGGGAAUAUCCUAUACACUAUUCACCUCAAGUUGGGCUUCGUCGUGUUCCAUGACUCCUGCUAGUUAAGAGAGAAAACGUAGUACUAUACUCGUGCCAAAUCGAACGGAAAUAACAACUCCCAACUCUUUGAAUAUUUACUCAGCCACCUACAAACGGAAUCUGCUGCUGUCUCCCAAGAGUAAACUAGAGUACGCUCAACAAUUAAAGCGGAAAGCCAGAGUUCUUCAACUUGCCUGUCGGAUGCUUUUGGAUGUUGCCUAACGAUGUGAAUGAUGCGGCCGGGCGGAUACAGUGGCUGAUGAGUCGACAGGGAGAUAUUAGUAUCGGAUGGAUGUUUCGUUAGGACGGCUGUUGUGGAAGGCACGUCUUUUGAACCGCCGCCGCCUCCUUCUUCGAUCGAAACGACUGGACUGUUGGAAAUUUUGACAGAGGCAUCUUUAUUCCGCCGUCCGCAGCACAGCAUGCUGGAACCCAGAAUUUUCCAUUUCGGAUUCGUGCUCUUGUUGAUUGCCGUCAUCAGACUGGACCUCAAAGUUUCCAGCUGAUGGAGACCCAGCCGAGGGACGACAUCUUUGCCAACGACGAUGGAUGUCACAAACUCUUUUGUGAAUUCAGCUGCCGUCCGCCGGGUGGUGAAUAGGCGUAGCAGUGAACAUGGGGAUACUCGUGGCGGAGUAGCAAAGCCAAAAUAGCUGCCGUUCCAGCGCCUAAAGAGUGACCGACUAGAACCAGACGAAAAUCCGGCGUGCCUCUUUCCGGAUUGUGAGCAAACGCUUUUCCUAGCAAAUUCUCCUUCUCCAACUUGUUGCGAAUGUAUGUGGCGGUUUGCACCAUACCCUUUUUUUGACAAAAACAAGAAGUCUUCUCGUGUUAACUGGAGAGGAAUGGGUUCCGCUUCGGCGUGAAGAUCCGUUAUCACGUCCUGUCACGGGACCCAGAAAACAGAGAGAUUCAAGAUUUGAUUUAUAUCUUUCAACGAUCGGUCACCCAAUACCUUCAUGCUGAUGGUGCCUCGAAUGCUGACCACGACGCUCUGGUGGUCGUAGUCAAUGGCGACGAAAAAAGGCGUUUCCGCUACGUCGACGUGGAAGGAAGCGAAAAUGACUUCGUGAUCAACGCGGCCGAUGGAUUGUUUCAGCGCUGCCAGGUGACAACCACUGCACGUGUCUCCCACAAUGACGGGUAGAGUUUCGCCACUCUCCGACGAGCCUGUCGAACCACUUCCACAACAGCAGCAACACCUUGCAUGGCGAUACAAACCGGGAGUUGAAAAACAAAACAAAAAACUGUUGGAACGCGAUCGUGUUAUUGGAUUUCGCAUGUCAAUCCCAUUAGUGUAGCAGCUGUACUAGUUGGAUUUGCAGCAGUAGUAUCUCUCUACCUUGUCUGGACUGCCAUGUAUGGUUUCUAUCGAACUGCAGGACCUUCCGGAAUUUAUGGACGUUCGUUCUUACCUAAUGUUAGAUACCAGGCGGCACAAUCCCGUCUUGGAAUGGCCUAGCAGGUACAUGGGCCAGCCAUAAGCAGCCAGGGCGAAUUUCAUAUAAUGUUCCGUCAAUUGGAAAGCUUCCAGUUGGUCGGGUUCGUGCAAGGAAAGGAAGCGUGUCCGUGAAGUGACGGCCACUCCCGACAAGAACUCGUAAAUGUCGUUCUGGUCCUAUAUUCAAAAUGAAGACAAGCCAACAAAAACAAAUAAAAACUACUAAAACCUUUCCGACAGAUGAAAUACAGCAACGACAAAAAUAGUUGAAAAUGGAGUAUAGACUUAAAAUUGAAUAGGAAUAAAACAAAAAUGUCAGCAGGUUUGUAAUCCGACUCCACACAUUAAAUUCCCAUUUUCCUUUUUCUUUUAUGGAUUUGUCGCAUCUUACGUUGUUGUUUAUUAGUGACUUUAUUGCCUGUAAUGGUGUUUAAGCGUUCUGUGGGUCAUAAAUUAUGUGUUUAGGGA
Molecule: unclassified non-coding RNA, 8161 nt
Filed under: Daphnia pulex (common water flea)
Lineage: Eukaryota; Metazoa; Arthropoda; Branchiopoda; Diplostraca; Daphniidae
Description: sorting nexin-25-like, transcript variant X2
Source: RNAcentral